RNAcentral lists this ribosomal RNA (236 nucleotides) under uncultured bacterium. RNAcentral describes it as "partial 16S ribosomal RNA". It matches the Rfam family "Bacterial small subunit ribosomal RNA", at positions 118 to 351 of the family's 1533-position model. The record is from RNAcentral.
UGAGUAACCUGCCCUUAACUCUGGGAUAAGCCUGGGAAACUGGGUCUAAUACCGGAUAUGACUCCUCAUCGCAUGGUGGGGGGUGGAAAGCUUUAUUGUGGUUUUGGGUGGACUCGCGGCCUAUCAGCUUGUUGGUGAGGUAAUGGCUCACCAAGGCGACGACGGGUAGCCGGCCUGAGAGGGUGACCGGCCACACUGGGACUGAGACACGGCCCAGACCUCCGUACGGGAGGCAG